Molecule: unclassified non-coding RNA, 299 nt
Filed under: fungal sp.
Lineage: Eukaryota; Fungi
Also listed under: 1 other name
Description: partial internal transcribed spacer region
Rfam family: Eukaryotic small subunit ribosomal RNA (bases 1-46)
Source: RNAcentral
AAGUCGUAACAAGGUUUCCGUUGGUGAACCAGCGGAAGGAUCAUUACCAUAAUCCAAAAACAUAUGGAUAAACCAACUUUGUGAAUUUUUAUUGAUUUGUCUUUUGGAAUAUGCGGGAAAGAGGGAAAAUGUGCAAUGUUUUUUGCACAUCAAACUCCAACCUUAAAUAUUCCAAAUGUAUUUCAAAACCUUAAAACCAUUAAAAACCUUAUAAUGAAACCAAGAAACCACAAGCGUAACAACUUGUGUGUUAAAAGUUUAAUACAUGACAACUUUUAACGGCGGAUCUCUUGGCUCGU